GGGCGUAAAGGGCUUCGCAGGCGGUUUCUUAAGUCUGAUGUGAAAGCCCCCGGCUCAACCGGGGAGGGUCAUUGGAAACUGGGGAACUUGAGUGCAGAAGAGGAGAGUGGAAUUCCACGUGUAGCGGUGAAAUGCGUAGAGAUGUGGAGGAACACCAGUGGCGAAGGCGACUCUCUGGUCUGUAACUGACGCUGAGGAGCGAAAGCGUGGGGAGCGAACAGGAUUAGAUACCCUGGUAGUCCACGCCGUAAACGAUGAGUGCUAAGUGUUAGGGGGUUUCCGCCCCUUAGUGCUGCAGCUAACGCAUUAAGCACUCCGCCUGGGGAGUACGGUCGCAAGACUGAAACUCAAAGGAAUUGACGGGGGCCCGCACAAGCGGUGGAGCAUGUGGUUUAAUUCGAAGCAACGCGAAGAACCUUACCAGGUCUUGACAUCCUCUGACAAUCCUAGAGAUAGGACGUCCCCUUCGGGGGCAGAGUGACAGGUGGUGCAUGGUUGUCGUCAGCUCGUGUCGUGAGAUGUUGGGUUAAGUCCCGCAACGAGCGCAACCCUUGAUCUUAGUUGCCAGCAUUCAGUUGGGCACUCUAAGGUGACUGCCGGUGACAAACCGGAGGAAGGUGGGGAUGACGUCAAAUCAUCAUGCCCCUUAUGACCUGGGCUACACACGUGCUACAAUGGACAGAACAAAGGGCAGCGAAACCGCGAGGUUAAGCCAAUCCCACAAAUCUGUUCUCAGUUCGGAUCGCAGUCUGCAACUCGACUGCGUGAAGCUGGAAUCGCUAGUAAUCGCGGAUCAGCAUGCCGCGGUGAAUACGUUC
Molecule: ribosomal RNA, 818 nt
Filed under: Bacillus subtilis
Lineage: Bacteria; Bacillati; Bacillota; Bacilli; Caryophanales; Bacillaceae
Description: bacterial SSU rRNA
Rfam family: Bacterial small subunit ribosomal RNA
Source: RNAcentral